Molecule: ribosomal RNA, 610 nt
Filed under: Streptomyces cyaneogriseus
Lineage: Bacteria; Bacillati; Actinomycetota; Actinomycetes; Kitasatosporales; Streptomycetaceae
Description: bacterial SSU rRNA
Rfam family: Bacterial small subunit ribosomal RNA
Source: RNAcentral
UGCAAGUCGAACGAUGAAGCCCUUCGGGGUGGAUUAGUGGCGAACGGGUGAGUAACACGUGGGCAAUCUGCCCUUCACUCUGGGACAAGCCCUGGAAACGGGGUCUAAUACCGGAUAACACUGCGGGCCGCAUGGUCUGCGGUUGAAAGCUCCGGCGGUGAAGGAUGAGCCCGCGGCCUAUCAGCUUGUUGGUGGGGUGAUGGCCCACCAAGGCGACGACGGGUAGCCGGCCUGAGAGGGCGACCGGCCACACUGGGACUGAGACACGGCCCAGACUCCUACGGGAGGCAGCAGUGGGGAAUAUUGCACAAUGGGCGAAAGCCUGAUGCAGCGACGCCGCGUGAGGGAUGACGGCCUUCGGGUUGUAAACCUCUUUCAGCAGGGAAGAAGCGAAAGUGACGGUACCUGCAGAAGAAGCGCCGGCUAACUACGUGCCAGCAGCCGCGGUAAUACGUAGGGCGCAAGCGUUGUCCGGAAUUAUUGGGCGUAAAGAGCUCGUAGGCGGCUUGUCACGUCGGAUGUGAAAGCCCGGGGCUUAACCCCGGGUCUGCAUUCGAUACGGGCAGGCUAGAGUGUGGUAGGGGAGAUCGGAAUUCCUGGUGUAGCGGUG